CGAACGCUGGCGGCGCGCCUCACACAUGCAAGUCGAACGGAGCUGAGAGAAGCUUGCUUUUCUUAGCUUAGUGGCGAACGGGUGAGUAACGCGUGAGUAACCUGCCCUGGAGUGGGGGACAACAGUUGGAAACGACUGCUAAUACCGCAUAAGCCCACGAUCCGGCAUCGGAUUGAGGGAAAAGGAUUUAUUCGCUUCAGGAUGGACUCGCGUCCAAUUAGCUAGUUGGUGAGGUAACGGCCCACCAAGGCGACGAUUGGUAGCCGGACUGAGAGGUUGAACGGCCACAUUGGGACUGAGACACGGCCCAGACUCCUACGGGAGGCAGCAGUGGGGGAUAUUGCACAAUGGGGGAAACCCUGAUGCAGCGACGCCGCGUGGAGGAAGAAGGUUUUCGGAUUGUAAACUCCUGUCGUUAGGGACGAUAAUGACGGUACCUAACAAGAAAGCACCGGCUAACUACGUG
Molecule: ribosomal RNA, 466 nt
Filed under: uncultured bacterium
Lineage: Bacteria
Description: partial 16S ribosomal RNA
Rfam family: Bacterial small subunit ribosomal RNA
Source: RNAcentral